Molecule: ribosomal RNA, 459 nt
Filed under: uncultured bacterium
Lineage: Bacteria
Description: partial 16S ribosomal RNA
Rfam family: Bacterial small subunit ribosomal RNA
Source: RNAcentral
CCUACGGGAGGCAGCAGUGAGGAAUAUUGGUCAAUGGACGAGAGUCUGAACCAGCCAAGUAGCGUGAAGGAUGACUGCCCUAUGGGUUGUAAACUUCUUUUAUAUGGGAAUAAAUGUUCCACGUGUGGGGUUUUGUAAGUACCAUAUGGAUAAGGAUCGGCUAACUACGUGCCAGCAGCCGCGGUAAUACGGCGGAUCCGAGCGUUAUCCGGAUUUAUUGGGUUUAAAGGGAGCGUAGGUGGAUUGUUAAGUCAGUUGUGAAAGUUUGCGGCUCAACCGUAAAAUUGCAGUUGAAACUGGCAGUCUUGAGGACAGUAGAGGUGGGCGGAAUUCGUGGUGUAGCGGUGAAAUGCUUAGAUAUCACGAAGAACUCCGAUUGCGAAGGCGGUUCACUGGACUGCAACUGACACUGAGGCUCGAAAGUGUGGGUAUCAAACAGGAUUAGAUACCCGUGUAGUC